UACGUAGGUGGCAAGCGUUAUCCGGAAUUAUUGGGCGUAAAGAGGGAGCAGGCGGCAGCAAAGGUCUGCGGUGAAAGACUGAAGCUUAACUUCAGUAAGCCAUAGAAACCGGGCAGCUAGAGUGCAGGAGAGGAUCGUGGAAUUCCAUGUGUAGCGGUGAAAUGCGUAGAUAUACGGAGGAACACCAGUGGCGAAGGCGACGAUCUGGCCUGCAACUGACGCUCAGUCCCGAAAGCGUGGGGAGCAAAUAG
RNAcentral lists this ribosomal RNA (251 nucleotides) under uncultured bacterium. Its description in RNAcentral is "partial 16S ribosomal RNA". It matches the Rfam family "Bacterial small subunit ribosomal RNA", at positions 524 to 775 of the family's 1533-position model. The record is from RNAcentral.